GCUGGGCACGGUGGCGCGUGUCUGUAGUCCCAGCUACUUGGGAGGCUGAGGUAGGAGGAUCGCUUGAGCCCAGGAGUUCUAGGCUGUAGUGCGCUAUGCCGAUCGGGUGUCUGCACUAAGUUUGGCAUCAAUAUGGUGACCUCCCGGGAGCGGGGGACCACCAAGUUACCUAAGGAGGGGUGAACCAGCCCAGGUCGGAAGUGGAGCAGGUCAAAACUCCCGUGCUGAUCAGUAAUGGGAUCACGCCUGUGAAUAGCCACUGCACUCCAGCCUGGGGAAACAUAGCCGAGACCCUGUCUCU
Molecule: signal recognition particle RNA, 301 nt
Filed under: Saimiri boliviensis boliviensis (Bolivian squirrel monkey)
Lineage: Eukaryota; Metazoa; Chordata; Mammalia; Primates; Cebidae
Description: Metazoan signal recognition particle RNA (ENSSBOG00000005000.1)
Rfam family: Metazoan signal recognition particle RNA
About the family: The signal recognition particle (SRP) is a universally conserved ribonucleoprotein.
Source: RNAcentral